This 779-nucleotide ribosomal RNA is filed under the name uncultured bacterium. Its description in RNAcentral is "bacterial SSU rRNA". It matches the Rfam family "Bacterial small subunit ribosomal RNA", at positions 8 to 796 of the family's 1533-position model. The record is from RNAcentral.
AGAGUUUGAUCAUGGCUCAGGACGAACGCUGGCGGCGUGCUUAACACAUGCAAGUCGAACGGAAAGUGCCCAGCUUGCUGGGUGACUCGAGUGGCGAACGGGUGAGUAACACGUGGGUGAUCUGCCCUGCACUUUGGGAUAAGCCUGGGAAACUGGGUCUAAUACCGAAUAUUCCUUGCUGGUCGCAUGGCCUGGUGGGGGAAAGCUUUUGCGGUGUGGGAUGGGCCCGCGGCCUAUCAGCUUGUUGGUGGGGUGAUGGCCUACCAAGGCGACGACGGGUAGCCGGCCUGAGAGGGUGUCCGGCCACACUGGGACUGAGAUACGGCCCAGACUCCUACGGGAGGCAGCAGUGGGGAAUAUUGCACAAUGGGCGCAAGCCUGAUGCAGCGACGCCGCGUGAGGGAUGACGGCCUUCGGGUUGUAAACCUCUUUCAACGCCGACGAAGCGUAAGUGACGGUAGGCGUAGAAGAAGCACCGGCCAACUACGUGCCAGCAGCCGCGGUAAUACGUAGGGUGCGAGCGUUGUCCGGAAUUACUGGGCGUAAAGAGCUCGUAGGUGGUUUGUCGCGUUGUUCGUGAAAACCGGGGGCUUAACCCUCGGCGUGCGGGCGAUACGGGCAGACUGGAGUACUGCAGGGGAGACUGGAAUUCCUGGUGUAGCGGUGGAAUGCGCAGAUAUCAGGAGGAACACCGGUGGCGAAGGCGGGUCUCUGGGCAGUAACUGACGCUGAGGAGCGAAAGCGUGGGGAGCGAACAGGAUUAGAUACCCUAGUAGUCC